GCUCCAUCAUAUUUUGAGUUGGGAUGGUGUAGCCGAGCUUGUUUCUGCAUAAGCGCCCUGAGUGCAAGGCCCUCACAUUUGGUGCCAUAAACUAAUUCGAAUGAAGUAAACCUGGUGGACCCAAUUGGGUGAAUCCCACGAGCCUUCAGCCGAUAUCUGGACUUCCAGAAGAUAAAACAGAAGGACUUGGCCACACUUUUCAAUUCAGCACCAGCCUUUUGGUCCUGAGGAGAGCUCUCAGGACUUCCCUCUCUACCAUUGGUGCUCACUCUCCCACCUCAAUCCUUUCCAGUUGGUUGUGUGGAGGAUUUCUUCAGGAACAAGGGUUUUGUGGUUCAGCUCAGCAGCCAAUGACGCUGCCUGCUUGGACCCAGACACCCCAAGGAGCAUUCUUAUUCGGAAGGGGAUGGGAGGACAAUUAGUCCAAGAAGACUUUUGUCAGUUGCCUCUGCCUUAAGUCCCCGUGCCCACUGGCCAUACGCUUGAGCUGUUCAAAUUCCAGCUAUUUCUCACCAGGCCAUUUCAUGAGGUUAUGAAUUUUUGAUGAUAAGUCUCAGGCACUGACUGGUGUGCUCUUUAAAUAGACAUUUUUACUGCCUCAGUAUCAGUGGCUCAGGCAAGAGGGAGCUUUCCCCAAGCGCUUACCCUGCAGUAGAAAGGGCCAAUACUGGACUGCCACUUUAACAGCUGUGCCACUUUAACAGCUGUGCCACAUGCUUGAUGGAGCUAAAGAAAGCUUUUACCUCUGCAUCCUCAAAUUUAGGAAUUAAAUGAGUUAACCAAAUUUCCUCUGCCCUUAAGUCUGAGCGAAUAAUGUGUUCAUGGGACAUAGUAGAGUUCUUGCUCCUCAGCUUGAACUAUCUGAGUUCAAACUCCUUUCCUGCUAUUUUCCUGAAAUUCUCUAUUUCCCUCCUUGCUUUUUUCUCCCUUUCUCUCUGUUUGCCAUUCCUUUUUUGCGUAAAGUGCUAAUUUCCACCACUCAAAUUUUAAUCUCUCUUCCACUACACACCUUAGUAUCAGUGGCUCAGGCUUCACUUUCCUCAGUUUCCAGUUGAAAACCAUUGGGUAAGCACUUUUAAACUUUUGGGCUCUCUGGCUAUUGGCAAAAUUCUAAUUCCAAAACUCUCACUAAAUCUUUUAACUGUUCAAGGGACAGAACAUUUAUAUCCUCAAAAGUAACUUCCCCUAAUUCUGCCAGGAAUGUGCUGACAUUGAACAUGGAUGUCUCUGCUCUGUAUCAAAGCCUCAAGAAAGCCCUUUGCAGAUUUGUUCUUUAAAAUCAAAUUUAAGUGGAUAAAUUUACCCACUCUAAUUCUUGUGGUUUCAUAAAAUCACAGCACAGCUUCACAAUAUAGGACCAUCCUGCAGACAGAGCUGUCUCACAGAAGGUCGAGGCUGGCUGGGGACAUACACUUGUUGCUGCUGCAUUGACUGAAACAACCAGGAAAUAAUUAUAUGGAGACCAGGCCUCUGUCCUGAGCAGAAUGGUAAUAAUGUGGUGCUUUAAUAUUAACUGGUGAACCCUUAGUUUGUGUCAAAUUUCACUUAUGCUGUAUUAAAUAUAACCACUGUAACUAGAAAGGAUGAAUUAUUUUAUGAACGAUUAAAGGUUAAUUGACCAUUCGGCUAA
Chiloscyllium plagiosum (whitespotted bambooshark) is the source of this 1630-nucleotide non-coding RNA. The record is from RefSeq and is a predicted model, not a curated record. Lineage: Eukaryota; Metazoa; Chordata; Chondrichthyes; Orectolobiformes; Hemiscylliidae.